GAUGAAGAACGUAGCGAAAUGCGAUAAGUAAUGUGAAUUGCAGAAUUCAGUGAAUCAUCGAAUCUUUGAACGCAUCUUGCGCUCCUUGGUAUUCUGAGGAGCAUGCCUGUUUGAGUGUCAUUAAAUUCUCAACUACACUGACUUUGAAUUGGUGUGGCUUGGAUUUGGGGGGAAAAUUGUUGUGGGCUUUUUGUAUAGUCUGCUCCCCUGAAAUCGAUUAGCGGUACCUUUGUGGAACUGUCUACAGGUGUGAUAAUUAUCUACAUCUUAGACAUCUGCUGGAAUGCUGCUUUCUAAACCUUACUUGUAUUGACAAUCUUGACCUCAAAUCAGGUAGGACUACCCGCUGAACUUAAGCAUAUCAAUAAGCGGAGGA
RNAcentral lists this unclassified non-coding RNA (376 nucleotides) under soil metagenome. RNAcentral's name for it is "partial contains 5.8S ribosomal RNA, internal transcribed spacer 2, and large subunit ribosomal RNA". The stretch from base 1 to 120 matches the Rfam family "5.8S ribosomal RNA", at positions 35 to 154 of the family's 154-position model. The record is from RNAcentral.